GAGGUUCCACUCCAAGUAAUAAAUUUUGUGUGCGAUCGCGUUCUUUAUGAUUGUGCUACUCUUUUUGAUUUUUUUUUUUUUUUUUAAGUUUAGCAUGAAGUGCAAAACCACUUGUUCAUGUGUAUAAGGCCUUCGAUUAUUGCCAGCUUUCUAGUGCUUUUGGAGGUUUUUGGAGGUUUAGGAUGCGCAUGAUAAAAUUUCUGGAAUAUAAAUCAAUUUUUAUUCUAUUGACAAGUUUGAGCCAAGAAACGUAUUUGAUAACGAUUCAAAAUUUCUAUUUCUGAAAUAAAAAUUCAUUUGAUAACAGAAUAAAAUUUCUAUUUUUAGGAGCAGUAACGACUAGAGGCCGGUUGCUAGAGUUUGACGUCUAGCAACUGACGCUCAACGUUCGAUGACUAGCGGCGGGCGGCCGAAGUUUGGAGUCCGAUGUUCAGCAUUCAGUGCCGGAGUCCAGUGACCGGCCACAGGCAGUCGAAGUUCGGAGUUUGGCGACCAACAACCGGCAUCCAACGUUCGACAUCAGGAGUCUGGCGACCAGAGGCUGACAGUAGGUGACUAGUGGCCGAAGUUUGGCAACGAGUGAUCGACAUCCGACGGUUGGUGGCAAGCGACGGACGGUCGGCAACGGACAUUCGAUGAUUGGUGGUGAGCCUCCAGCGUCCAAAAAUUAGCGAUGAGCGGCCAAUGACCCGUGGCCGUUCGGCAUCCGACGACCAGUGGUGGUGACGAGCGGCCAGAGAUAGAUGGCCGACGGUCA
This 757-nucleotide long non-coding RNA is filed under the name Eucalyptus grandis. Its description in RNAcentral is "long non-coding RNA (EGRA_LNC001759)". The record is from RNAcentral. Lineage: Eukaryota; Viridiplantae; Streptophyta; Magnoliopsida; Myrtales; Myrtaceae.